RNAcentral lists this ribosomal RNA (497 nucleotides) under uncultured bacterium. Its description in RNAcentral is "partial 16S ribosomal RNA". It matches the Rfam family "Bacterial small subunit ribosomal RNA", at positions 28 to 507 of the family's 1533-position model. The record is from RNAcentral.
GAUGAACGCUGGCGGCAUGCCUAAUACAUGCAAGUCGAGCGAACAGACGGGGCGCUUGCUCCUCUGCCGCUAGCGGCGGACGGGUGAGUCACACGUAGCUAACCUACAUAUAAGGCUGGCGUCACUUCAGGAGCCCUGAUCUCACACCGGAUCAUAUGUUGAACCGCAUGGUUCAUUAGUGCACGACCGUUUUGCUGUCCCUUAUUCGUGGUACCUAGCCGCAUUAGCUAGUUGGUAAGGUAACGGCUUACCAAGGCAACGAUGCGUAGCCGACCUGAGAGGAUGAUCAGUCACACUGGAACUGAGACACGGUCCAGACUCCUACGGGAGGCAGCAGUAGGGAAUCUUCGGCAAUGGGCGAAAGCCUGACGGAGCAACGCCGCGUGAGUGAUGAAGGUCUUCGGAUUGUAAAACUCUGUUAGUAGGGAAGAAGAAAAGUGUAAGUAACUAUGCAUGUCUUGACGGUACCUAAACAGAAAGCCACGGCUAACUACGUG